This 325-nucleotide ribosomal RNA is filed under the name uncultured eukaryote. RNAcentral's name for it is "partial 18S ribosomal RNA". It matches the Rfam family "Eukaryotic small subunit ribosomal RNA", at positions 1470 to 1796 of the family's 1831-position model. The record is from RNAcentral.
CCCUUAGAUGUUCUGGGCCGCACGCGCGCCACACUGAUGCAUUCAACGAGCCUAUCCUUGACCGACAGGUCCGGGUAAUCUUUGAAUCUGCAUCGUGACGGGGAUAGAUUAUUGCAAUUAUUAAUCUUCAACGAGGAAUGCCUAGUAGGCGCAAGUCAUCAGCUUGCGUCGAUUACGUCCCUGCCCUUUGUACGCACCGCCCGUCGCUCCUACCGAUUGGGUGUGCUGGUGAAAUGUUCGGAUCGGCCGUUUGUCGCGGUUUCCGCGUCAUGUGGCUGAGAAGUUCAUUAAACCCUCCCACCUAGAGGAAGGAGAAGUCGUAACA